CUGCGAACGGCUCAUUAAAUCAGUUGCGAUCUACUCGGCGUUCCGCGCCGCCGGAUAACCGUAGUAAUUCUAGGGCUAAUACGUGCGAAGCGCCCGAAGCCGCGAGGCGACGGGCGUUCUCGCCGGAUGUAGGAACCGACCCGGGGACCGCCGGGGCAACCCGGCGCCCCCGAGACGGGGCGAACCACGGUGAAAUGACGGAUCGUCGGCCCCGCGCCGGCGACUCGCCGAAUGAGUUUCUGACCUAUCAACUCGAGACGGCGGGGUAGAGGCCCGCCGCGGUAACGACGGGUAACGGGGAAUCAGGGUUCGAUUCCGGAGAGGGAGCCCGAGAAACGGCUACCACUUCCAAGGAAGGCAGCAGGCGCGCAACUUACCCUAAUCUCGAUUCGAGGAGGUAGUGACAAGAAUACCGAUGCGGGACCCUACGGGUGCCGCGUUCGGAAUGAGUACGAUUCGAACCACCUAACGAGGAACGAUCGGAGGGCAAGUCUGGUGCCAGCAGCCGCGG
This 511-nucleotide ribosomal RNA is filed under the name uncultured eukaryote. RNAcentral's name for it is "bacterial SSU rRNA". It matches the Rfam family "Eukaryotic small subunit ribosomal RNA", at positions 87 to 579 of the family's 1831-position model. The record is from RNAcentral.